UGCGUACCUUUUGUAUAAUGGGUCAGCGACUUAUAUUCUGUAGCAAGGUUAACCGAAUAGGGGAGCCGAAGGGAAACCGAGUCUUAACUGGGCGUUAAGUUGCAGGGUAUAGACCCGAAACCCGGUGAUCUAGCCAUGGGCAGGUUGAAGGUUGGGUAACACUAACUGGAGGACCGAACCGACUAAUGUUGAAAAAUUAGCGGAUGACUUGUGGCUGGGGGUGAAAGGCCAAUCAAACCGGGAGAUAGCUGGUUCUCCCCGAAAGCUAUUUAGGUAGCGCCUCGUGAAUUCAUCUCCGGGGGUAGAGCACUGUUUCGGCAAGGGGGUCAUCCCGACUUACCAACCCGAUGCAAACUGCGAAUACCGGAGAAUGUUAUCACGGGAGACACACGGCGGGUGCUAACGUCCGUCGUGAAGAGGGAAACAACCCAGACCGCCAGCUAAGGUCCCAAAGUCAUGGUUAAGUGGGAAACGAUGUGGGAAGGCCCAGACAGCCAGGAUGUUGGCUUAGAAGCAGCCAUCAUUUAAAGAAAGCGUAAUAGCUCACUGGUCGAGUCGGCCUGCGCGGAAGAUGUAACGGGGCUAAACCAUGCACCGAAGCUGCGGCAGCGACACUAUGUGUUGUUGGGUAGGGGAGCGUUCUGUAAGCCUGUGAAGGUGUACUGUGAGGUAUGCUGGAGGUAUCAGAAGUGCGAAUGCUGACAUAAGUAACGAUAAAGCGGGUGAAAAGCCCGCUCGCCGGAAGACCAAGGGUUCCUGUCCAACGUUAAUCGGGGCAGGGUGAGUCGACCCCUAAGGCGAGGCCGAAAGGCGUAGUCGAUGGGAAACAGGUUAAUAUUCCUGUACUUGGUGUUACUGCGAAGGGGGGACGGAGAAGGCUAUGUUGGCCGGGCGACGGUUGUCCCGGUUUAAGCGUGUAGGCUGGUUUUCCAGGCAAAUCCGGAAAACCAAGGCUGAGGCGUGAUGACGAGGCACUACGGUGCUGAAGCAACAAAUGCCCUGCUUCCAGGAAAAGCCUCUAAGCAUCAGGUAACAUCAAAUCGUACCCCAAACCGACACAGGUGGUCAGGUAGAGAAUACCAAGGCGCUUGAGAGAACUCGGGUGAAGGAACUAGGCAAAAUGGUGCCGUAACUUCGGGAGAAGGCACGCUGAUAUGUAGGUGAAGCGACUUGCUCGUGGAGCUGAAAUCAGUCGAAGAUACCAGCUGGCUGCAACUGUUUAUUAAAAACACAGCACUGUGCAAACACGAAAGUGGACGUAUACGGUGUGACGCCUGCCCGGUGCCGGAAGGUUAAUUGAUGGGGUUAGCGGUAACGCGAAGCUCUUGAUCGAAGCCCCGGUAAACGGCGGCCGUAACUAUAACGGUCCUAAGGUAGCGAAAUUCCUUGUCGGGUAAGUUCCGACCUGCACGAAUGGCGUAAUGAUGGCCAGGCUGUCUCCACCCGAGACUCAGUGAAAUUGAACUCGCUGUGAAGAUGCAGUGUACCCGCGGCAAGACGGAAAGACCCCGUGAACCUUUACUAUAGCUUGACACUGAACAUUGAGCCUUGAUGUGUAGGAUAGGUGGGAGGCUUUGAAGUGUGGACGCCAGUCUGCAUGGAGCCGACCUUGAAAUACCACCCUUUAAUGUUUGAUGUUCUAACGUGGGCCCCUUACCGGGGUUGCGGACAGUGUCUGGUGGGUAGUUUGACUGGGGCGGUCUCCUCCUAAAGAGUAACGGAGGAGCACGAAGGUUGGCUAAUCCUGGUCGGACAUCAGGAGGUUAGUGCAAUGGCAUAAGCCAGCUUGACUGCGAGCGUGACGGCGCGAGCAGGUGCGAAAGCAGGUCAUAGUGAUCCGGUGGUUCUGAAUGGAAGGGCCAUCGCUCAACGGAUAAAAGGUACUCCGGGGAUAACAGGCUGAUACCGCCCAAGAGUUCAUAUCGACGGCGGUGUUUGGCACCUCGAUGUCGGCUCAUCACAUCCUGGGGCUGAAGUAGGUCCCAAGGGUAUGGCUGUUCGCCAUUUAAAGUGGUACGCGAGCUGGGUUUAGAACGUCGUGAGACAGUUCGGUCCCUAUCUGCCGUGGGCGCUGGAGAACUGAGGGGGGCUGCUCCUAGUACGAGAGGACCGGAGUGGACGCAUCACUGGUGUUCGGGUUGUCAUGCCAAUGGCACUGCCCGGUAGCUAAAUGCGGAAGAGAUAAGUGCUGAAAGCAUCUAAGCACGAAACUUGCCCCGAGAUGAGUUCUCCCUGAGACUUAGAGUCUCCUGAAGGAACGUUGAAGACGACGACGUUGAUAGGCCGGGUGUGUAAGCGCAGCGAUGCGUUGAGCUAACCGGUACUAAUGAACCGUGAGGCUUAACCUU
This 2348-nucleotide ribosomal RNA is filed under the name Escherichia coli. RNAcentral's name for it is "partial 23S ribosomal RNA". It matches the Rfam family "Bacterial large subunit ribosomal RNA", at positions 598 to 2925 of the family's 2925-position model. Lineage: Bacteria; Pseudomonadati; Pseudomonadota; Gammaproteobacteria; Enterobacterales; Enterobacteriaceae. The record is from RNAcentral.